RNAcentral lists this ribosomal RNA (496 nucleotides) under uncultured bacterium. RNAcentral's name for it is "partial 16S ribosomal RNA". It matches the Rfam family "Bacterial small subunit ribosomal RNA", at positions 28 to 506 of the family's 1533-position model. The record is from RNAcentral.
GAUGAACGCUGGCGGCGUGCCUAAUACAUGCAAGUCGAGCGAACGGACGAGAAGCUUGCUUUUCUGAUGUUAGCGGCGGACGGGUGAGUAACACGUGGAUAACCUACCUAUAAGACUGGGAUAACUUCGGGAAACCGGAGCUAAUACCGGAUAAUAUUUUGAACCGCAUGGUUCAAAAGCGAAAGACGGUCUUGCUGUCACUUAUAGAUGGAUCCGCGCUGCAUUAGCUAGUUGGUAAGGUAACGGCUUACCAAGGCAACGAUGCAUAGCCGACCUGAGAGGGUGACGGGCCACCGUGGAACCGAACACCGGUCCCGCAUCCCACGGGAGGCAGCAGGAGGGAAUCUUCCGAAAGGGGGGAAAGCCUGACGGAGCAACGCCGCGUGGGUGAGGAAGGUUUUCGGAUCGUAAAACUUUUUUAUUAGGGAAAAACAUAUGUGUAAGUAACUGUGCACAUCUUGACGGUACCAAAACAAAAAGCCGCGGCUAACUACGU